UUUAUUGGAGAGUUUGAUCCUGGCUCAGGAUGAACGCUGGCGGCGUGCCUAAUACAUGCAAGUCGAGCGAAUGGAUUGAGAGCUUGCUCUCAAGAAGUUAGCGGCGGACGGGUGAGUAACACGUGGGUAACCUGCCCAUAAGACUGGGAUAACUCCGGGAAACCGGGGCUAAUACCGGAUAACAUUUUGAACUGCAUGGUUCGAAAUUGAAAGGCGGCUUCGGCUGUCACUGAUGGAUGGACCCGCGUCGCAUUAGCUAGUUGGUGAGGUAACGGCUCACCAAGGCAACGAUGCGUAGCCGACC
RNAcentral lists this ribosomal RNA (304 nucleotides) under Bacillus thuringiensis. RNAcentral describes it as "partial 16S ribosomal RNA". It matches the Rfam family "Bacterial small subunit ribosomal RNA", at positions 1 to 292 of the family's 1533-position model. Lineage: Bacteria; Bacillati; Bacillota; Bacilli; Caryophanales; Bacillaceae. The record is from RNAcentral.